Petromyzon marinus (sea lamprey) is the source of this 107-nucleotide small nuclear RNA. The record is from Ensembl. Lineage: Eukaryota; Metazoa; Chordata; Hyperoartia; Petromyzontiformes; Petromyzontidae.
GUACUUGCUCAGGCAGUACACAUACCAAAAUUGGAAUGACACAGAGACUAUGAGCAUGGCCCCCGCGCAAGGAUGCGACGCAAAUUCGUGAAGCGUUCCAUAACAAC